Molecule: long non-coding RNA, 4428 nt
Organism: Tyto alba (common barn owl)
Lineage: Eukaryota; Metazoa; Chordata; Aves; Strigiformes; Tytonidae
Exons: 3
Source: RefSeq, a predicted model, not a curated record
GGGGGGUUGGGACUGGGUGAUCUCUGAGGUCCCUUCCAACCCAAACCACUCUAUGAUUGAAUGACAUUUUUGUUCUGGAGCAACUUUCUGCAGACGUAAUUUUUUGAUCCCGCAUGUGAUGAAUAUUAGGAGCAACAGUGUGGCUGUGAAGCUGACUGUGGAAGAGCCUCUUAAGAGACAUCUCCUCAAGGCAAGCGGGAGGCCGUAUGCUGUACAAUGCAGCUCUGGGCAAGAGGAUGUCUCUGCAAAGAGAUGGGCCUUUGAGCUGAGGGGUGUUGGAAGAGGUGGCUUGGUAUUUCUGGCAGCUACACACUGCUCCUUGCUUCUCUGGUUGCGAUGGCCUUGUGCUGUGCAACAAGCUCUCCUUCAUGCUCUUCACUCGUAAUAACGUGGUUCUUUGCCUUUCUGAAAACUCAGAAAACUUACCGGCACAAACCCGAUGCUCCUUCCCAUCCCAGUUAUUCGCAAUCGGGAGAGGUAUUCCCAAAUUUUAAGAGAAAAUAUUUUUGUGUUUUCUUAGUUUUGCAGGCAUCCAUGAGUGAAGGACCAGAGUACCUCAAUCUGUCCCUUCAACAAUCCUUCCCCGCUCCAUGUUUUCAAUUGGAAACCGCACCAGUGAGCUCCUAAAUCCAGGCGGCGCCUCUGCAGAAGUGGAGCAAAACCAACAUGAUUCAGCAGAUGAAGCUGUAAAAUAUUCCAACCUUUGAAGUCAAGGCAGUUCAGCCCUGACCAUUCAUGUAUCUCAGAAGUACUAGGAGAUAAACGCGGGAAACAUUACACAGCUCGGUAAAUAUGCGUUCAUCAGAGUACCCGUAAUUGCCAUUGUGUUGGGAUUUUUGCUUUUAUAGAACUACAAACUUGUCUUACAACUGCUAGAAACGCUCUCCCGCUAAUUUUGUAUUUUUCAAGUUCUUCAGAGAUUCUCCAUUUUCUCCAAAGACAGAAAAUCUAUUUUCCUUUCAAACAAAGGAAAUCCAGUGUGGAGUCUUUACCUGAGGAAAGAACCUCUCAAAGAAAAUGUAACACGGCUGGUAAAACCAGUUGCUCUGAAACACUCUGUAUCAGCAAACUGAACAGCUGAUAAGAAUAAUAGAAAUUUUUAGUCAAUGAGAAAAUACUCAUCAGGAACCUCAUCCUACCAGCACAAAAUUUGCUAAUAUUGCCUGGCCUUGCGUUGCUGCCAGAAGUAUGAAUUUGUACUGAAAUCCCACUGUAUGGGAGAAGCACCCCAGCCAAAGUGUAAGAAAUUUCACUGCUAUAAACAGGGCACAUAUGGGGUUUAUGGAGACAUCGGGGUCUGGCUAUUGAUUUGUGCUUUCCUCUGGGUAAUACAUGUCCUAUAAUGCCAUGAGAUUUAUGACCAGGACUUUGAACUCUGGAAUAACUUUUAAAAAGAGGGGGCUGUCUAUAAAAAGUGUGGUUCGGGUUUUAAUCUGUUAUAAUCUAGUGCCGCAAGAAGACUUCGAGAGUUCAUUUAUUUGGCCGUGAAUACUUUUCACACUGAGACUAGGAGGCCACACUCAAAUACCUUCAAAAGUUCAUGCCAGGAUCAGUGAAAUUCAGAGUCACGAAUGACCCAGGGAACAAUCAAUCCUUUGAUUAUAGGAAGUUCCUAUUAAAAUAAUGGAGCACAGAAAGUGCCUUGCUAAAAUGAAUGUGAGUCUCCCAAACCUGUACAUUUGCGCAAAGUGUUGGCUGAGAAAUUUCAGCAAUUCCUUUUAAAAAAAAAAAAAAAACAAACAAACAACAAAAAACAAAAAGCAGACAACAUUUUGAUAUCAAGCAGAGUUUUGACAACUGAUUUGGAUAAAUUGAAUUUCUCUUUUAUCCAGAUUUCUUGACCUGUUCUUAAUACCAAUUUCCCUUGGUGCUUGCUUUCUUGAUUAUAGUUGAAAGAAAUUUAUAACAAAUCUAUCUUCUGUUUUCGCUUCUAAGUACCUAUAAAUUUCUACUACAUUUAUAUAUUUGUAUCUCCAGACUGAAAAGCAAGAUAAACCUGAAGGCAAACUUAUCGUACCAGAAUAAAACUCUUUACUCCUGGGACUGGCCAAAACAACAAUCUAUGAAAAAUGCAAAACAGCAACAGGUCUUGUUUUUAAACUGUUUCGCAAAAUAUUUUUGUGCUGAGAACCUGAUCACUGAAGAUGCUAAAGUGCUGCUGGCUGCCCUGAAUGCCUCCCAGUCUCUGACUGGGACUGUCCCAGUUGGUGCUCAGCUUCUUGCAGAAGUGGACCCCUUAAGAGUUUGCAUACAACUAACUAAACACUAGUAAGAUCCUCUGUUUUAGUUUUCCAACACCUGAAUGAUUUAUGGGCAGAAAGUAGGUCUACUGCAAAUUCAUAAUUGAUGCGUCUCUUUUGAUACGCAGUCUAACAAAUGAAAAAAAAUAUUUAAAAUACAAUUGAUUUGUUACUUGUUAUGGACUGGAAGAAGACUUCCAAAAGACUGUCAUGUUUUCUGGCUUGCCCUGAGAUACAGUUCUAUCUAGAAGAUCCGAGAUCCAAACCAUUCAUACCUUCACCUAAAUAAAAACAAAAGCCAUCUUCUUCCCUUGGGUCCUGGUGAUACACACACCCCAGCCAUCCCAGUUAUGUGGGACACAUUAAACUGUUUUGACUUGGUUACUUCUAAACAAAACCAAUGAAAUUCAGUUGCUUAUAAAAAAAUGAGACGGAGGCCCUCUUUUUCUCUCCUCCACAUCACUGCUUUAAUCCCUGCUAUGACCAGGUGGGUGUAGCAAUGACUGUAGCUCCUCAACCUGAUGAAAAUAGUGUUGCAUUCAGAAAUUCGAUAAAUGAAUGGGAGGGACAAGUAAUGCUUCCCCCCCCCCCCCCCCCCCCCCCCCGGAUGUUUUGUUAAUUAAAUUAGCAUUUAAAUAGCCAGAGCUAAUCUGGGAAGUCAGGCCCUCAUUACAGUAACUAGGAAGGGGGAAAAGAGCUGCAGACAAUGCCCUACAAGAUGGGGUUAAGUUGGCGUUUCACAAACUAUUUGCCCAGCCUGUCCCUCCCAAGUGAAAGCUGCCACCCCCCCACCCCACCCCCCCUUUCCUCCCAGAAUAAUUAGCAUGUUCCAGUGCUGUGAAUGGAAACAAUAUCCUCCCUCCAAGCUGUGCCCCUCCAGGGAGAUGCUUCCCACAGAUUGUGAAACUCUGAGCCAGGGAAAGGGCUUGCCGAGGAAUUCACAGUGGGGUAAUUACACUGAGGUAGCUUGUGCCCGGUGCAAGAUAAGUUGCAUUACUGUAAUUCAUUGCAGGAGGCAGGGGCUCGCAUAAAGGAAAUGUCCAGAGGCAAGACUGCAGAGCCAUGAGAAGUCAUCGCCUUCCCAGAGCCCCGAUAAAACCCGACGUUGAAGCUGAGGAUGGUUCUUUGGCCUCCGAGGAUGUCUCCGUCUUCAGAGAAGUUUGCAGAACGUAGCAACGAUCACGUGCGAAUCUGGUUUCUCUUUGGCAAUUAGAAUGGAAGAAAGGUUGAAAGGGUGACUCAACAGAAAAAACAUCACCCUCCACUUGCGGCUCAUCAUGCCCAGCUGUAAAGCGGGGAUUAUAUUUACCUCCAUUGCAAAGUACUCGGUUUCAGAAGACGUUGGUGCGGUUUGCUGAGGCCCCGGCUGGAAAAUACCACAAGAAGUUCAAAGCCCGGUUUCAUCCUGUAAUUGGAUCCUCAAGUCCACAAGUGCAAGAACCAACUGUGCGGGCUGACAGCAGGUCCUCCCCUCUUCCAACAAGAACCCCACCACAACACGGGGCUGUGGGGCUGAGCUGCAAGCGUGGCAUACCCAGGAGCUGCUACUUUCUGCUGCUAUGCACAAAAAAAUGUUGUUUAAAGCUUUUGCCACCCUGUUUGAUCUGACCUGCUGUUAUUUUUUCUUUCUUUUUUUUUUUUUUUAACUCUAAGACAUCUUCUUAACUCUCAUGCUCACUUGGGAUGCUCUUAAGAACAUGGACUUUAAUCCCAGUGUUACUUAAAUACCAAUUUAAUAUUUGUUUUCUCUCUGCCUUGACAAGAUAUUCCUCAGGUCAAGCAGGCAUGAAAUGAUAGAUAUUGAGUGCAAUUCUUCUGGGCAAGAAGAGCUACCUUCUAAGAUCUUAUCUCAAAACCACUUGGAAAUGUGUUCUUUAUUUAUUUAUGCCAUAAAAUCUCAUUCGAUGUUGAAGGCCCAAAGGAUUACAAUUCUGAAUUUGUUGGUUUGCUGUUUUGUUUUCUUUUUUUUUUCCCCCCGUCCUUGCUGAAAUCUGGCCUUUCAAAAUAACACAGAGAGAAUCUUUGUUUUGAUCUAAAAUAGCAGCUGCAAGGGCUUUUAAAUGACCAUUUAAAUGAGAUUUCUUUUUUUGCAUCUUCGCAUUAUAGUUUCAUUCUCGGUCUCUGAGAUCAGUAGCUGCGGUUGAGCAGCCGAGCCGUCUAAUGGGAAUAAAUUGUAAUAUUGUUCCAA